Molecule: ribosomal RNA, 363 nt
Filed under: uncultured bacterium
Lineage: Bacteria
Description: bacterial SSU rRNA
Rfam family: Bacterial small subunit ribosomal RNA
Source: RNAcentral
GAUGAACGCUAGCGGCAGGCUUAAUACAUGCAAGUCGAGGGGCAGCAGUCCCGCAGCAAUGCGGGAGCUGGCGACCGGCAAACGGGUGCGGAACACGUACAGAACCUUCCUUCGAGCGGGGAAUAGCCCAGAGAAAUUUGGAUUAAUACCCCAUAGCAUUACGAAGUGGCAUCACUUUGUAAUUAAAGAUUUAUCACUCGAAGAUGGCUGUGCGGCUGAUUAGGUAGUUGGCGGAGUAACGGCCCACCAAGCCUUCGAUCAGUAACUGGUGUGAGAGCACGACCAGUCACACGGGCACUGAGACACGGGCCCGACUCCUACGGGAGGCAGCAGUAAGGAAUAUUGGUCAAUGGACGAAAGUAC